UACGAGGGGGGCGAGCGUUGUUCGGAAUUACUGGGCGUAAAGCGUGCGUAGACGGUAGCGUAAGUCGGGUGUGAAAGCCCCGGGCUCAACCUGGGAAUUGCAUUCGAGACUGCUCUGCUAGGGUGCGGAAGAGGGAAGCGGAAUUUCCGGUGUAGCGGUGAAAUGCGUAGAUAUCGGAAGGAACACCAGUGGCGAAAGCGGCUUCCUGGUCCAGCACCGACGUUCAGGCACGAAAGCGUGGGGAGCAAACAGG
This 253-nucleotide ribosomal RNA is filed under the name uncultured bacterium. RNAcentral's name for it is "partial 16S ribosomal RNA". It matches the Rfam family "Bacterial small subunit ribosomal RNA", at positions 524 to 776 of the family's 1533-position model. The record is from RNAcentral.